GGGAGGCUAUGGCUGGGGAUCAACUCCGAUGCACCACUCCCGGUUGAGUUCAGAGGGGCAUAAACUGGGUCUUGCUCCUCUCUAGUAAGCAAGAACGGAAUGGGACUAUUAGUCGUGUGGUAAUUAAAUUUAAAUAAAAGUCCUGAGAGUAUUGUUUAUAAUUCUGAUGGCUGAAUGUGCUCCAUGUAUCUUGAAUUGUUUUAAGAUAAUUAAAUAUACAAAGCUCCUAUUGAUGUUUGUUUUCGUAUCGAUUAACAAAUUAAUAUUAUAUGUGCACAAUUACAAAGAAAAGGGUU
RNAcentral lists this long non-coding RNA (296 nucleotides) under Phoenix dactylifera (date palm). RNAcentral describes it as "long non-coding RNA (PDAC_LNC019010)". The record is from RNAcentral. Lineage: Eukaryota; Viridiplantae; Streptophyta; Magnoliopsida; Arecales; Arecaceae.